GCACCUGGGUUGUCUCGAGCCUGCGGUAGUGGCCAGAUCCCAGACAUCCGAGUAGAUCCCGUGAAAAGGUCUCCCACGUGGGCUGUGGACAGGGCCCAAGGGUAGCAGAGCUAGCAGAGGCAGUGACGGACUGUGUGGCAGGUCAUUUGCAAGGAGAAAAGCCGUCUGCCUCUUAAUUUGUGGCUCAAGUUUCAGAAUUUUUUUCCUGAGGGACUUUAGAAAUUACUUCAGGCUUGCCACCUAACCUUAAACCACCCCCUUGGAGACUGGCUAAGUGUUAUUUGUGUUUUCUGUUUAGUUCUUAUCACCAUCGAUACUUGGUUAUGACUGGUUGUGUACAUUGGUUAGCCCAGCAAGUAUUACUUCUCCAGCUUAACAGAUGUGGAAACUUAAGCCCAGAGACAUGAGUUGACACCCCACCCCCAAAGCUAGAGUCUAAAACCCUUUCUUUCGCUCCUCAUCUCCCACAGGAUAAAAUGCAAAUUAAUCAGACUAGUGGUGAGGCCCUCCGUGGUGUGACUAACCUGCAUCCCGACGUUUUCACCCUACUUUGAUCCAGAAAGCACCUUUCCGCCCCAUCUCUUCUCCUUUCCUUAAAUACCCCUUACAACUUCCUGUACCAUUCUUCCCUGUUCAGCUUCUUCUUGGUUUCUUCGUACAUUCUGGAUCCACCCCUUUCAUGCAUAUUCCAGACCACAUUUCCACUGGAGCAGUUGAAAUGAGAGAGAUGGGAAUGGGACUCACCCGAACCAGAGGUAAGGAGCUACCCAACUUGGGCUCUGAGGGUCAAGGGAGCUGGCACUUGUGGGGCAGAGACUGAGGGAGAAACUGUUGUGUAAUGUCAAAAUAUCUCUGGGUUUCUUCCAGGAAUUUUUAUUACAGACCCAUUAACAGAGGUGUCAAAGUCACAGGAACAAGGAUGUGCACCUCAGAAACACAGAGGCUAGCCUGGCUGAAGCUCAGCUGCACAGAGUCUGUCCUGAGAAGCAGAAUGCCACUGUCCCCUGGGCCCUCCAGACUGCCAAGGCUGCUCAGUUUCAGAGAGCAGGCUCCCUGUGGCCUCACACGCCGGCUGCCAGCUGGGCCAGGUAACUCUGGCCAGGCUGCACUGUGAAGAACACGAGAGUCGGCGGAGACCUGUGCCUGCUCUUCUCAGCCUCAAUGUCUGGAAGACAAAAAAAGGCAUCCUGCUCCCAAGAUUGUGGUGGAGGCCAGCAGGGUGACGCACAUGAAAGCCACUGGAGAUAGAUGGCACUUGUUCCCACCCACUGCCCACAACAGGCCCAGGACUGCCUCAGCCCCGGUGGACCCCAGAGCCAGCAGGCCCUUCAGAAUGGAAGGUGCCAAACACCAUCGGAAGGCGUGGUUCUUUUCAGAGAACCAGACUCUGAGACUGUGGCCUCCCACUAUGAGUCACCACCUCUGAUUCCUGAGGUCCCCUCCAGUCAUUGGCUCUCUCCCAAGCCAGCCAGCUGAUCAGCCUUGAGGACAGCAGAGUGUCUGCCAAGAGAGAUCUGUGAAGUUUCCCAUCACCGUGGCAGUCCACAAUGUGAAGCCCCUGAGGCCACCCUUCUCCAUGUGUCCCCCACACUGUCCCUGACCCUCCCACCAUCCUAGAAAACCAGCCUCCCAGGUCCUCUGUCAUGGAAGUAAUUUACAGCAAGGCAGAAAGAGCUGAAAGAUUUAUAAAUGUGUAAAAUUUACAAAGGUGUUUCUUUCUUUCUUUCUUUCUUUUUUUUUUUUUUUUUUUUUGAGGCAGAGUCUCACUCUGUUGCCCAGGCUGGAGUGCAGUGGCACAAUUUUGGCUCACUGCAACCUCCGCCUCCCGGGUUCAAGUGAUUCUCCUGCCUCAGCCUCCCAAGUAGCUGGGAUUACAGGUGCAUGCCACCACGCCUAGCUAAUUUUUGUAUUUUUAGUAGAGACAGAGUUUUUUGCCAUGUUGGCCAGGCUGGUCUUGAACUCCUGACCUCAGGUGAUCUGCCUGCCUCAGCCUCCCAAAGUGCUGGGAUUACAGGCGUGAGUCACCGUGCCCGGCCUACAGAGGUGUUUCUGAGUGGAGAAACCACUGCCUGGUUGGACUGACUGCCCAGUUCCACCACCCUGUGAGCCCAUGAGUGAGCUCACUGCACUUGUUAUAGACAUCCUACCACCAGCAGCCUGAUUUUGCUGAGUCCGUAGCUUACAACUCCAAUCUCAUGGCCCUGCCUUUCACCUCACUUGCUGCCUUAAAAACCUGCAGACUGAGGUGGCGUAGAAGCUGUGACAUCCCAGUACCCAGAAGUUCAUCUCACACCCAGAUCUUGGUUUCUAAAUGUCAUUCUCUACUAAAAGGGACCAGGGCUGGUACAGGAGAAGAGCAAGAGCUUGGAAUAUCUUAUACCUGAGAGUAAGGAAGUGCUCAGAGAAUCACAGGAGCACGUUAAAAGGACAUAGAAGUCAGUUUAAUGAGACUGCUUCUGGCCAAAGUUGGAACACAUCAAACAUUAAAACAAUGAUGGUAAUGGAUUAGAUUCCAUAGAAUAAAAUCCUUGAGGACAUAGUUAUAUAAACAUAACUGAGGAAGAAGGAAAAGCUCUCCCUAACAGAAUAAUACAACUAGUAAAUGGGAAAGGAAAGGAGUUAGGAAUUCACGCUGGGUAUUGAAACUAGUGGGUGAAAGCUCAAUGAAUCGGAUUCUUAGUCUCAAUGUCUCUCCUCUCAAUUUAGUAAUUAUAGUGGAGUAAUCAUGACUUUACAGUGGAGAAACCUGGCCAACACUACCUUCACAACACUAACAAAAACCUUGCAGACCUGCAGCCUAAGCUCCCAGAAGUCACCUGCUGAAAUGCCUUCAAAGAGUGACCUCUCUGCGUGUAGUGCUCAGCAACUUGGGCUCAGUGUCUAUUUCCACAAGCUACAAACCAGAAUACAGUGGAAUUCAGCCCAUAUGUGGUAAUUUAUCUACCAAUCAAGGACCUUUGACUCCAAAAAUUACCUUUUUUGUACAAGUGACUACCUGGUGUAGAGCUCAGACAUGGCUUUGAAUUUUUGCCAUGCUGUGUGAGCUCAGGCAAGCUGCUUCACCUCUUUGAGCUUCAAUCUUUUAUCUAUAAAAUGGGAAUAACAAUAACUUAAUGAAACAGCAAUUCCAGUGUUAGGUAUUUCCUCAGGAGAAAUGAAAACACGUUCACACAAAUAAUUGUACAUGUAUGUUUCUACACGCUUUAUUCAUAAUAGUCAUAAACAACCUAAAUAUUCAUCAACUGGUUAGCAGAGAAAAGAGCAAACCACUGAUGACAUGAACGAAUUUCAGAAGCACUGUGCUCAGUGAAAGAAGCCAGACAAAAAUUACAUCUUACAUAAAUUUCAUUUAUAUGAAAUUCUAGUGAAGGCAAAACAUAUAGCCAGGGGCCAAGAGGGGAGGAUGGUCUGCAAAGAGGCAGGAACUUCUUCCUGGGGUGAUGGGAAUAUUCUGUGUCAUGAACAUCGUGAUUGUGGUUACAAGACUAUACUUUUGUCAAAACUCAUCAAAUUGUACACCUAAAAUGGAUGCAUUAAGCCUCAAUACAGCCAAUAAAAGAUACCUACGUUACAGUA
RNAcentral lists this long non-coding RNA (3576 nucleotides) under Homo sapiens (human). RNAcentral describes it as "non-protein coding lnc-PROC-1:17". Lineage: Eukaryota; Metazoa; Chordata; Mammalia; Primates; Hominidae. The record is from RNAcentral.